GGAUGUAGCUCAGUGGUAGAGUGCUUACCUAGCAUGCGUGAGAUCCUGAGUUUAAUCCCCAUCAUCACA
This 69-nucleotide transfer RNA is filed under the name Marmota monax (woodchuck). Its description in RNAcentral is "tRNA.Ala". The record is from RNAcentral. Lineage: Eukaryota; Metazoa; Chordata; Mammalia; Rodentia; Sciuridae.